Molecule: ribosomal RNA, 422 nt
Filed under: uncultured cyanobacterium
Lineage: Bacteria; Bacillati; Cyanobacteriota
Description: bacterial SSU rRNA
Rfam family: Bacterial small subunit ribosomal RNA
Source: RNAcentral
GAAUUUUCCGCAAUGGGCGAAAGCCUGACGGAGCAAUACCGCGUGAGGGAUGACGGCCUAUGGGUUGUAAACCUCUUUUUUCAGGGAGGAAUCAAUGACGUGUACCUGAAGAAUAAGCAUCGGCUAACUCCGUGCCAGCAGCCGCGGUAAGACGGAGGAUGCAAGUGUUAUCCGGAAUCACUGGGCGUGAAGCGUCUGUAGGUGGUCAAAUAAGUCAACUGUUAAAUCUUGAGGCUCAACCUCAAAAUCGCAGUCGAAACUAUUAGACUAGAGUAUAGUAGGGGUAAAGGGAAUUUCCAGUGGAGCGGUGAAAUGCGUAGAGAUUGGAAAGAACACCGAUGGCGAAGGCACUUUACUGGGCUAUUACUAACACUGAGAGACGAAAGCUAGGGUAGCAAAUGGGAUUAGAUACCCCAGUAGUC